Molecule: ribosomal RNA, 253 nt
Filed under: uncultured bacterium
Lineage: Bacteria
Description: partial 16S ribosomal RNA
Rfam family: Bacterial small subunit ribosomal RNA
Source: RNAcentral
UACGGAGGGGACUAGCGUUGUUCGGAAUUACUGGGCGUAAAGCGCACGUAGGCGGAUUUGUAAGUCAGGGGUGAAAUCCCCAGGCUUAACCUGGGAACUGCAUUCGAGACUGCAUUGCUAGAGUAUGGGAGAGGGAAGUGGAAUUUCAGGUGUAGCGGUGAAAUGCGUAGAUAUCUGAAGGAACAUCAGUGGCGAAAGCGACUUCCUGGACCAAUACUGACGCUCAUGUGCGAAAGCGUGGGGAGCAAACAGG